Molecule: long non-coding RNA, 696 nt
Organism: Uranotaenia lowii
Lineage: Eukaryota; Metazoa; Arthropoda; Insecta; Diptera; Culicidae
Exons: 3
Source: RefSeq, a predicted model, not a curated record
ACUCAUUAUUUAUUACUUGAAAUCAAAAUUUAGUUCGUUUUUAAUCGAAAACCUGGUUAUUUUCAAUAAGUGUGUAGUUUGCAAACGAUAGGUUGAAAUAUGGGAAAAAAAGAAAAAAAAAAUCUAACAAAAAACGAAUAUCCAUGGCAAAAACAGCAGCAGUAGAAGCAGCAGUAGAAACCGGCUGGAAUAAUUUGGAAGAACAUGGCAGAUCUUGAGGCCUUUCAUUGGUUCAGGAAACCAUCGACUGCUGCUGACUUCCGUUAUACACCCAGUGCCAUCCUUGGAAGCCGAUGGAGAUGAUCCGGGUUUGGUAAUCAUGCCAUUAUCAACAGCAACACCGUUUGGGAGGAUUUGGAAGAGGUACCGCUGCAACUGUUGCCUGAAGCUGGGAAAAAAAGAUGACUCGAUUCUGCAGAUCGAUAUUGAUCCCGGUGUGACGGAAACUUUCUCAGCAGGAAAAAAAUGGAAGCAGAAUUCCAGGUUUGUCAUGUGGAACUGGCAACGCUUACACUACUCCCGCCUUUUAUGUGUAUGGACACCCUGUGUUUGUCGUUCGGGCGCACCUUCUGUGCGUACGGUUACCGAUUGCAUCUGCAAUGUUCUUUUGUCUUUCGACACGAUACCACGCGUCUUUAAUCGCUGUUAAUAAAAGUCUAAGGCCGAUGACAUAGUGAGUGCGAUGCGAUGCGAAUU